UUGAACGCUGGCGGUAUGCUUAACACAUGCAAGUCGAACGGAAACGAUACUAGCUUGCUAGUAGGCGUCGAGUGGCGGACGGGUGAGUAACGCGUAGGAAUCUGCCUGAUAGUGGGGGAUAGCCCGAAGAAAUUCGGAUUAAUACCGCAUAAUCUAUUCGUAGUAAAGUGGGGGACUUUCGAGCCUCACGCUAUCAGAUGAGCCUGCGUAAGAUUAGCUUGUUGGUAGGGUAAAAGCCUACCAAGGCGACGAUCUUUAGCUGGUCUGAGAGGAUGAUCAGCCACAUCGGGACUGAGACACGGCCCGAACUCCUACGGGAGGCAGCAGUGGGGAAUAUUGGACAAUGGGGGCAACCCUGAUCCAGCAAUACCGCGUGUGUGAAGAAGGCCUGAGGGUUGUAAAGCACUUUCAAUUGUGAAGAAAAGUUAGCGGUUAAUAACCGUUAGCCUUGACGUUAACUUUAGAAGAAGCACCGGCUAACUCCGUGCCAGCAGCCGCGGUAAUACGGAGGGUGCAAGCGUUAAUCGGAAUUACUGGGCGUAAAGCGUGCGUAGGCGGUUUAUUAAGUCAGAUGUGAAAGCCCCGGGCUUAACCUGGGAACUGCAUUUGAAACUGGUCAACUAGAGUAUGGUAGAGGAAAGUGGAAUUUCUGGUGUAGCGGUGAAAUGCGUAGAUAUCAGAAGGAACAUCAAUGGCGAAGGGCAGCUUUCUGGACCAAUACUGACGCUGAGGUACGAAAGCGUGGGUAGCAAACAGGAUUAGAUACCCUGGUAGUCCACGCCGUAAACGAUGAUAACUAGCCGUUGGGGGGAUUUACCCUUUAGUGGCGAAGCUAACGCGUUAAGUUAUCCGCCUGGGGAGUACGGCCGCAAGGUUAAAACUCAAAGGAAUUGACGGGGACCCGCACAAGCGGUGGAGCAUGUGGUUUAAUUCGAUGCAACGCGAAGAACCUUACCUGGUCUUGACAUCCUGCGAACUUUCUAGAAAUAGAUUGGUGCCUUCGGGAACGCAGUGACAGGUGCUGCAUGGCUGUCGUCAGCUCGUGUCGUGAGAUGUUGGGUUAAGUCCCGUAACGAGCGCAACCCCUAUCCUUAUUUGCCAGCACAUCAUGGUGGGAACUAUAAGGAGACUGCCGGUGAUAAACCGGAGGAAGGCGGGGACGACGUCAAGUCAUCAUGGCCCUUACGACCAGGGCUACACACGUGCUACAAUGGGAAGGACAAAGAGCCGCGAAGCCGCGAGGUGUAGCUAAUCUCAUAAACCUUUUCGUAGUCCGGAUUGGAGUCUGCAACUCGACUCCAUGAAGUCGGAAUCGCUAGUAAUCGUAGAUCAGAAUGCUACGGUGAAUACGUUCCCGGGUCUUGUACACACCGC
RNAcentral lists this ribosomal RNA (1374 nucleotides) under uncultured bacterium. RNAcentral's name for it is "bacterial SSU rRNA". It matches the Rfam family "Bacterial small subunit ribosomal RNA", at positions 29 to 1393 of the family's 1533-position model. The record is from RNAcentral.